This 497-nucleotide ribosomal RNA is filed under the name uncultured bacterium. Its description in RNAcentral is "partial 16S ribosomal RNA". It matches the Rfam family "Bacterial small subunit ribosomal RNA", at positions 28 to 507 of the family's 1533-position model. The record is from RNAcentral.
GAUGAACGCUGGCGGCGUGCCUAAUACAUGCAAGUCGAGCGAACAGACGAGGAGCUUGCUCCUCUGACGUUAGCGGCGGACGGGUGUGUAACACGUGGAUAACCUACCUAUAAGACUGGGAUAACUUCGGGAAACCGGAUCUAAUACCGGAUAAUAUAUUUAACCGCAUGGUUCAAUAGUAAAGGACGUUUUUGCUGUCACUGAUAGAUGGAUCCGCGCCGCAUUAGCUAGUUGGUAAGGUAACGGCUUACCAAGGCAACGAUGCGUAGCCGACCUGAGAGGGUGGUCGGCGACACGGGAAGUGGGCCGCGGACCAGGCUACUAAGGGAGGGAGCAGUAGGGAACCUUACGCAGUAGGCGAGAACCUGACGGAGCAAGGGCGAGUGAGUGAUGAAGGUGUUGGGAUCGUAAAACUCUGUUAUUAGGGAAAAACAAAUGUGUAAAUAAAUAUGCACGUAUUGACGGUACCUAAUCAGAAAGCCACGGCUAACUACGUG